GGGGCUGUUAUUGGUUUCGACGGGAUAGAUGAAUUAUUAGCUGCAAGUAGAUGGUAAUCUUAAAAUACAAACAAAAAUAAAUAACAACAAUAAUUAUAAUGCUUACACAAACGCUUAUGCGUUUGCUUAAUUAAUAUCGUAAGCUCUUCUUAAAUUGCUCUUGUUUACGGACUUUUUAAGAGGAUCAAAUCAUAGUAAACUAUAUUGCUUUAUUUGUUUAGGAUAAAGUAACGAAUAUUAUCUAAACUCGUUAUUUGGUGGGUAAGUUAACUACCUUUAUCAUUUAACUAAAUCAUAAUCGUUAACUAAACUUGUAGACGCUACUAUGGAUUUUACCUCGGACACGAGUUCAAAUCUCGUCAGCUCCACCA
RNAcentral lists this transfer-messenger RNA (371 nucleotides) under Bacilli. RNAcentral describes it as "Aphodocola sp902795755 Standard tmRNA". It matches the Rfam family "transfer-messenger RNA". From Rfam's summary of the family: Bacterial tmRNA, also known as 10Sa RNA or SsrA, is named for its dual tRNA and mRNA-like properties. Its role is to liberate the mRNA from a stalled ribosome. To accomplish this part of the tmRNA is used as a reading frame that ends in a translation stop signal. The record is from RNAcentral. Lineage: Bacteria; Bacillati; Bacillota. RNAcentral also lists the same sequence under 1 other name.